GACGAACGCUGGCGGCGUGCUUAACACAUGCAAGUCGAACGAAGAGCGAUGGAAGCUUGCUUCUAUCAAUCUUAGAGGCGAACGGGUGAGUAACGCGUAAUCAACCUGCCCUUCAGAGGGGGACAACAGUUGGAAACGACUGCUAAUACCGCAUACGAUCUAACCUCGGCAUCGAGGAAAGAUGAAAGGUGGCCUCUAUG
This 200-nucleotide ribosomal RNA is filed under the name uncultured bacterium. Its description in RNAcentral is "partial 16S ribosomal RNA". It matches the Rfam family "Bacterial small subunit ribosomal RNA", at positions 28 to 213 of the family's 1533-position model. The record is from RNAcentral.